RNAcentral lists this long non-coding RNA (1478 nucleotides) under Homo sapiens (human). Its description in RNAcentral is "long independently transcribed non-coding RNA 1488, transcript variant 12 (LINC01488)". Lineage: Eukaryota; Metazoa; Chordata; Mammalia; Primates; Hominidae. The record is from RNAcentral.
GUGGGGCAGAGGGCAGCCUGAGCAUCUGCAAACAGAGUGGCUCACAGAGAGGACACCUGCCCUGAGGACACCUGCAGGAGAUCCCUACAGAGGAAGGGCUAGACCAGGCUCCAUCCAGCAAACAGGCAGGACAGCGAUGUCUUCCUGCAUGACAGAAGGGGAAACUGAGGCCCAGAGUGAUGCAGCCCGGGACCUCCCAGGACAAGGUCCAAGCUCUUACCUCAGCCUCUGCCAGCCUCCUCUCACCCAUUCCUGCAUGUGCCGCACCAAUCUGUGUGGAGCGCCCACUCCAGCCAGGCCCUGCUCUAUCAGCAAACUCAGCAGGCAGAACCCCUGCCCCAUGGCGCUGCUUCAGCGUGGUGAGACAGGAACCGCCUGGCUGCUGGGAUGAGAAGAGACUGGAGAGAGACCACGAUGGAAGCCAGGAGGCCAACGAGGAGUUGGGGUAGUCCUCCAGGGAGACAUGAUGUGGCUUCAGCCCCAGUGGUGAUGGCGGGGUAGAGCCAGCAGGGUUCUGAACUGAGUGGAUGUGAAAUGAGGGAAAGAGGGAUGCUGCGGUCGGCAGAAUCGUGCCUCCCGCAAAGAUGCCCCAUCCUAACCCGUCACCCUUGACAGUGAGACCUCCACCACAAAGGGGACUUUGCAGGCAUGAAGGUUAAGGACCCUGAGAGGAGGAGAUGGCCCUGGACUGUCUGGCGGGCCCAGCAUCAUCACAAGGGUGCUUAUAAGUGGAGGAGGAGGCAGGGGGAGCCGAGCAGAUGUGAGGAUAGAAGCAGAGGUCGGAGGGACGUGCUGUUGGCUUGAGAUGGAGGAGGACCUAUGAGCCAAGGAGCAUGGGCGGCCUCUGGAAGCCAGAAAGGGCAAGGCCUCUUCCCGGAGCCUCCAGCAGAACCCAGCCCCGCUGCCACCUCGACUGCAGAACGGUGACACCGUGUCCGAUUCCCGACCUCCAGAACCGUGAGAUAACACGUGUGCUGUUUUAAGCCACUGCAAUUGUGGUAUUUGUCACAGCAGCCAUAGGAAACUGUACGGGGGUUAAAGAGGACCUGCUGACCUCUGAGCUCACACUGAAGCCUCCUGGAAUGCUGUGGGUUGUGAGCUGGGAUGAGAACGCAGCAUGGAGAUGAAAGACGCAUCCACCCAGGAAGGCCCACUGGCAUCGCAAUCUCAGGGAAGAUUCCCAGGCUGAAAAAAGAGAAAGUGGCUGGGGUGGCACUGAAUGCCCCACGUCAAAGAAAUGGCACCCAAGCCGUCCGUCAGUCCCUCACCUGCCACACAGACAGCACCUUGGACCCAGCAAGAUGUCACUCACCACAUUGAUGCUGUCCACAGGCAUCGCCUUGCUUUUGCAGCUCUGUGUGAGAUUUGUCAGCUUGGUUUGGGUCUGGGGCUGUAUUAGAGCUGUCAGCCUAGGAGCCUACCCUAGUUUUGUGUCUGCACUAUUUCCAAAGCACUGGAAUAAAAGGCAUUUUAACCAA